GAGGGAAAGAUUUUGGUGGCUAAUGACUUUUAUGGAACCCUAACUUGGGAUGAUUUAAUUCCAGGUAUCUUUAUGAAACUUAGCAUUUAAAAAAGACAAAUGGAGAGUUAGAUAAGGAGAGAGAAGCAUUUCUUAUUUAUUUAAAGAUUCCAAAUACAACUCUUCAUAAGAUAUGAAUGAUUCGUCUUGGCUCCCUUAACGCACAUCCUGGACACAUGGCCAAGAAACUGCUUCCUUCAAUCACCAUGACAGAGUGCCUCGUGUAACAAUGUUCUGCACCUUCCCCUCCCUUCCCCUACCGACACCCAUCCUCACACAUGCUCCUCCCUGCCCCUGACACUGACAACCUAGCAAUCACUAGGAGAAAAGCCUGGCAUGUGUGGGAGCCACCCUCAGAGAAGCUGUCCCGAAAGAGAGGUGCUAACUAGGUGAAGACAUAUGACUUUCUGAGCACUAUUUCUUAAUACUAAUGGAGGGAGAUUGUGGCAAGGAGCCAGGAAACAGAAAAGGCAUGAAAAGAAGAACUAAUUUGGAGCUGGCGGGAUCGGUGAUAAUGAAACCUACCUUGCUGUUUCACGUUGAGGAAUCACUGCGGGAAGGGUUGAUUUUGGCAGCAGGAGCCUGUACACUGUGCUAAUUCUCCAUCUCAGGAAGAAACAGAAUCAUGAAGUCUAAAGAAACUGAGGUACUAUUCAGCUUUCUGUCCUAGGUAUCACUCUCCUAUGAUUGUCCAAAUAAGAUGUCAUUUGGGCCGGGCACCGUGGCUCACACCUGUAGUCCCAGCACUUUGGGAGGCCAAGGUUGGUAGAUCACAAGGUCAGG
Macaca mulatta (Rhesus monkey) is the source of this 822-nucleotide non-coding RNA. The record is from RefSeq and is a predicted model, not a curated record. Lineage: Eukaryota; Metazoa; Chordata; Mammalia; Primates; Cercopithecidae.